Long non-coding RNA from Acipenser ruthenus (sterlet), 1017 nucleotides. RefSeq lists it as uncharacterized. Lineage: Eukaryota; Metazoa; Chordata; Actinopteri; Acipenseriformes; Acipenseridae. The record is from RefSeq and is a predicted model, not a curated record. The transcript has 4 exons.
ACAAUGAUUUAGGAAUCGUGUUGACUGUUAGCCGGCCGUAUAAACAGACGAUAAUUGCUUUUUUUUUUUUUUUUUUUUUUUAGACAAUCGGCUGUCAGGGUUAAAAGGUCGUCGUCUAGAGGACAGCAAUUUGGAAAAAAUCAGCUGGAAAAACUAUUAGGAAGUGGAAGACAUCAAUUUUAAAGUAUCUUCUCAGAAAACCUCAGGAGGAAGAUUGAGGUCAUCUGGGCGUAACAGCAAAGGUCGUUUUGUGUUUACAGCGUUCUGUAUUUCAUGCUUUAUAACUACUGAUUUCCUUUGCAUGGCAAUCUUGCCUUCCUUGUAGGAAAUGACCUCCAAGACGCUUCCAUUACCGACUCUAUGUCCAUUUUCACAAACAAGCACGCGGAGGAACUAUCAGCACAUUGUUUGAAAACAAAACAAAAAAGCCUGGGCUCAUGAUUGUUUGCAGUUCGUAAUUAUGGCUCAGAGGUUUGUACAAGCGAUACAGUAUCUUCAGUCUCUGCAGAUUGGUUGGCAGGUCCAAUAGCCCUGGCUAUCAAGGGACAACGAGCCUCGCAGUCUGUGUGUGCGAAACUCACGCCAAACAACAAACACGCAAGAACCAGCAAGCAGGGGACACAGGAAGCAGCAAGACAUCUAAAAGUGUCCUCAGCCUGCCACUGGCCCAUCCUGAAUGUGACUCCCAGGCCCCAGAGGGAAGACACACAAACUGCUGUUAUUUGUUUAAUAAUAUACUACAAUAAUGUGCAUGAGACAUGUACUGUACGUGUAUAUGGAAAAUCCUUUGAAAAAAUAAAUUUGAAUAAAAGACCUUACACUGUACACACAUCACUGUAUAAAAACUACAGUAAAGCUGACAUCUGACGUGUGUAUUUUUGACAAGGGGAUAAUUAAAAUGUUAAAACACACAGAAAAUGCUUAAAUGUUUAAACAAUAAACUUAACCUACUGGGUUUAAAAAAGGGGAGCUCCCGAACGGAGUCGAGGCUUCAAAUGGGAAAUUUCGUAAAAUAUU